UAAAAUUAUAGAAGUUUAAAUUAAAACAGAUUCAUGAUGACAGCAGCAGAUGUUUGGAUCAGAUAAUUAUUGAUUACCAAUAACUGAAGCAUCAAACUGCAGAGAAUCAGAAUGAAAACAUGAAGCAGCAGAAACAGAAAUAAAAUGUUUCCUUGUUGAGUUUAGGAAGUUUCAGACCAACUUUAACCUUUUAGCAACAUUUAGAGAAGUUUGCUGAGGUUCUGCAGGAACCGGGUCCGGUGGUUCUGGAACUCUGCAGGUCUCUGCGUGUCGGAUGAACUUCACAUUCAUCCUGAGGUGAGGCUCCGCCCCCUCAGCAUCAGGCUGAAGCUGCUUCCAUGUAUGGACUAGACCAAACCUGCAGCAGGGAGGAACUUCAGCUCCCUCAGGCUGAUGAAACGGAUCCUGAGGUUCUGCUGAGGAUGUAGCCGUCACGCCGCCGAGCUUCAGCCGCCGAUGAACAUCUCUGAGCCGCCGCUCUGAGCCGCUCGCCACACAUUGCCAACAUUCCCAGCCGGUCUGGACCUGCAGGGAGGGAGUGUCUGCCUCCUGCUGGAUCUGAUUUACAUGCAGCAACACUCAGACCAAAAAAGGUGAGAAGGCAGCAGCAGCUGAGCUUCCUGGGAAUCCUCCAGCAGCAGCAAACAGCUUUUCCUCAACAUCUACAAGCUGAGACAGGAAGGAGAUAAAAUCGGUUCUGUUCUGCUGAGGAAUGCUGAGAUGUUUCUGAUCCACAGAUUAAACAGGUUUCAUCUC
Xiphophorus hellerii (green swordtail) is the source of this 756-nucleotide long non-coding RNA. RefSeq lists it as uncharacterized. The record is from RefSeq and is a predicted model, not a curated record. Lineage: Eukaryota; Metazoa; Chordata; Actinopteri; Cyprinodontiformes; Poeciliidae. The transcript has 3 exons.